CAUCUUUUUCCUAAUAAAGGAUUGCAAAUGUUUGUCCAGCCUAUUCAAUCUUCUAAGAUGCUAAUAGAAUAUAUAAGAAGAACAUACAAAUCUUUCUUGCAUGGAUUACAAAAGGAUUAAGGUAGCAUAAAAGUUUACAUAACAUCUCAUAAUUUAUCUUGCAGUGAGAGCACUAACAUAAAAGGAUUAAGGUUGCAUCUUCCCCUUCUGGGAUGAUUCCAUUGUGUUGAGGUCGCGUUGGACAUCAAUCCUUAGAACCUCCAAUGCCCUGACGAACACCGGCAGCUCGUCCGCCCCGAGAGCUUCCACGUCCACCUCCCACCAGUUCUGUUUCCC
Molecule: long non-coding RNA, 336 nt
Filed under: Setaria viridis
Lineage: Eukaryota; Viridiplantae; Streptophyta; Magnoliopsida; Poales; Poaceae
Description: long non-coding RNA (SVIR_LNC001679)
Source: RNAcentral